This 293-nucleotide signal recognition particle RNA is filed under the name Carlito syrichta (Philippine tarsier). RNAcentral's name for it is "Metazoan signal recognition particle RNA (ENSTSYG00000027352.1)". It matches the Rfam family "Metazoan signal recognition particle RNA". From Rfam's summary of the family: The signal recognition particle (SRP) is a universally conserved ribonucleoprotein. It is involved in the co-translational targeting of proteins to membranes. Lineage: Eukaryota; Metazoa; Chordata; Mammalia; Primates; Tarsiidae. The record is from RNAcentral.
GCCAGGCGUGGUGGUGGUGCCUGUAGACCCAGCUACUUGGAAAGCUGAGGCAGGAGGAUCGCUUGAGCCUCAGAGUUCUGGGCUGUAGUGUGCUGUAUCAAUCGGGUGUCUGCACUAAGUUCAGCAUCAAUAUAGUGACCCUUGGGAGUAGGGACCACCAGAUUACCUAAGAAGGGUCAAUCAACCCAGGACAAAAACAAAGUAGGUUGAAACUCAUGCUGAUCAGUAGUGGGAUCUCACCUGUGAAUAGCCAAUGCACUCCAGCCUGGGCAACAUAGCAAGACCCCAUCUCU